Molecule: long non-coding RNA, 476 nt
Organism: Neltuma alba
Lineage: Eukaryota; Viridiplantae; Streptophyta; Magnoliopsida; Fabales; Fabaceae
Exons: 2
Source: RefSeq, a predicted model, not a curated record
AUGCUUUCGCCUGAUAAUUCAUACGGCUCUAAUGGUAGCGUUAAUCAGGAAUCAGGAAGGUCUCGCUUGGAGCGCUUGAGAAAAUCGAGGACUUUAGGAGAAGAUAAACGCGAUGCCGAACGGGAUCCGGAUUACGUAGUUCGGUUGAGAGAACUUGUUUGCUCUUUUUGUGGCUUUUAAAUUAAUCGACGGCAUGCUUAAUAAUUGAUGCUCCGGUCUUCCUGCGCGGUAUUCCUAUUUUACAGUCUUGUUUUUGGUACGCUACCACCUGAGCUUCAGGUCCUGUUUGAUUGGGGGAUUUUUUAUGGUAUCGGAGGGAGGGGGUAAGUAUUUUUGGUUAGAAAAGGUGGGAGGGACCUGUUGCGUUUGUAUUGGAGGGCAGAGAAUGGUUCAGACACUUCUAAACUAAAUUACUCAUGUCAAUUUUUUAAUAUUCUAAUUUUAUUCCUCCUCGCUAAAAAGUGAGCUGUCUUUUA